This is a long non-coding RNA of Dreissena polymorpha, 889 nucleotides long. RefSeq lists it as uncharacterized. The transcript has 3 exons. The record is from RefSeq and is a predicted model, not a curated record. NCBI's taxonomy places the organism in Eukaryota, Metazoa, Mollusca, Bivalvia, Myida, Dreissenidae.
AGCUCCAUUAAUGCCGUUGUCCAAGAAACUGCAAAGGAAGGAUAUAACCUUAGCUGACAGCAUGGUGUGGAUUCAAACAGCAUCUGUAAUUAUUGACAAUUUGAAAGCUAGGUAACAUAUUUUGUAACAUUUUAUUUAUAAAAAAAACUAGAAAGUAUUGAUUAAAAUUUUAUCUAGUGUCAUUUUCUACCCCAUACUGUUGACUACUGGCUAUCAUUGAUAGUGAUUUGCACAUAGGCCAUAUCUUAAUUAACUCAUAUGAUUACAAAAUUUUGUAUGAAAAAAAACAACAACAAGAAAGUGCGAAAAGUUGAUGAAGUCUUGGCAACUUAGGCUUUGUCUGUGGUUGAACUCCGAGGAAAAACACCUGUAAUGGCUUACAAGGAGACCCAGAUAGAUAAUAUAGUCAAAGCCAUGCAGACCAGGUUCAAAUUGGAUGAUGUUACAUCACCUAUAGUGCAGGCAACGAAAGUGUUGAACUUUAGUAAAUGGCACAUGCUGAGAAAUGAGAAAGAGAAGCUUGCAGCGAGAUUCAGUUUCUGGCUGGCAAUACUACAAGAGACUAUUGACAGUUGACCCUACCUUCAAGCAGGAUGAUGUUUUAAAACAGUGGCAGAGGGUCGAAUUGUUAGCAAAAAGCCUGUUCACAGACCAGCAGAGGAAUGACUUGGGAAGAUGUUUAUGAUGAGGAGCUAAAGCCCUCGUGCCGUUAUGCUCCCUUCGGGCCGAUUAUCACUGCCUGGUCCGGCUAAGCCGUGUAUUAGUUUAUGUUGCGAAGCUGAGAACGCCGGGAGCGUGAGCCUUGGCGAGCGCUUUCAUUGUUCGAGCCGAGCAACAUAAACUUCUCUGUAUUCAACGCUAACCUAGUAUUUUAUUUAUCCCAUUUUUU